This 491-nucleotide ribosomal RNA is filed under the name uncultured bacterium. RNAcentral describes it as "partial 16S ribosomal RNA". It matches the Rfam family "Bacterial small subunit ribosomal RNA", at positions 29 to 506 of the family's 1533-position model. The record is from RNAcentral.
AGUGAACGCUGGCGGUAGGCCUAACACAUGCAAGUCGAACGGCAGCACAGUAAGAGCUUGCUCUUACGGGUGGCGAGUGGCGGACGGGUGAGGAAUACAUCGGAAUCUACUUUUUCGUGGGGGAUAACGUAGGGAAACUUACGCUAAUACCGCAUACGACCUACGGGUGAAAGCAGGGGAUCUUCGGACCUUGCGCGAUUGAAUGAGCCGAUGUCGGAUUAGCUAGUUGGCGGGGUAAAGGCCCACCAAGGCGACGAUCCGUAGCUGGUCUGAGAGGAUGAUAAGCCACACGGGAACUGAGACACGGUCCAGACCCCUACGGGAGGCAGCAUGGGGAAAUAUUGGAAAAGGGGCGCAAGCCUGAUCCAGCCAUACCGCGGGGGUGAAGAAGGCCUGCGGGUUGUAAAGCCCUUUUGUUGGGAAAGAAAAGCAGCAGGUUAAUACCCCGCUGUUCGGACGGUACCCAAAGAAUAAGCACCGGCUAACUUCGG